Molecule: non-coding RNA, 1070 nt
Organism: Arachis ipaensis
Lineage: Eukaryota; Viridiplantae; Streptophyta; Magnoliopsida; Fabales; Fabaceae
Source: RefSeq, a predicted model, not a curated record
UUUCACAAAACCUAAAUGCCUAUACGUUCAGAAAGGGAAAAAAGAGAGAAAGGGGAACAGAGAGGGAGCAAAAGGGAAACGAGAAAUUGAUGAAAGGGAGAAGAGGGAUCAGGGAAGCCAGAGGAGAGGGUGACGACGGAAGGUGUCAUUACCGUCGCUGGCAUUGAAAUCGGAGGGGAAGCACCACGAAGAACAGAGAGACGCGCAUGAUAGAGGGAGAAGGUAGUGUCGCUACCGUGCCUGGUGAUCGUUGCGGAAGCUUCGAUCGCUAUUGUCCCUGCUAGGGUUACCACUGACGCCGAACAGAACAGGGGAGAGGAGCGCAAAUUGGAAGAGGAAAGGGAGCUCUGUUGCGGGCUCGUUGCCAAGAAAAGAAGAGGCGAUGCUGGUAGGGAUCGCCGCCGGUGUCAUCGCCGUCACUAUGGUUCGUGGUCACCACUGCCGUUGGUGAAGGACUAGGUUGCGUCCUAGCUGCCGGAGCCGCCAUCACCGUGACCUUGUUGCUUCGGGUCAACCAUGUCUCUGCCUCUGAUGUACCUUGUCGUGCCAUAUCCGUUGGAACUGCCGUGAUCGGAGCUUGUUAUUAGAGAAAGCAAUUUGUUGCCACCAUCUUUCAGUCUAGCCAGCAUCAUCAUCCUCUUUGUUCCAGUUCCAAUGCCAAUUUUCUGUUUCUUAAGCCAUUGUCAAUUUAUCUCCUGAGCAAUCACAAUUGGUGUUGAGGUCGUUGAUGUUGCUGCUGUUAUGCUAUAGCUAGUCACAAGAGUUUUACUGCUGCGGGAUUACGUUGAAAUUGUCGCUGCUGCUGUGAAUUCAAAAUAAGCGGGCUUAUAGUGGUUAAUUUGUGCGAGUUCAGCUAAUCGAGUAACACAGUUUUGGAGACGCAAUUUGAAGCUGUGAGCGAUUAGUAGGCUUUCUUUAUGGUUUUAAUUGCUUUCAUAGAGUACCCUCGCUGUUGUCCUUUGAGGUUUUAUUUUGACAGAGGGGUAGGUGUUGUAUUUGGGUUUAUAUGACUUCUUAUGUAUAAGAAUUACUAUUAAUAAUACUUAUGUGAUUGUUAUUAUUAUUUGCAA